UACAGAGGGGGCAAGCGUUGUUCGGAAUUACUGGGCGUAAAGGGCGCGUAGGCGGCCUUCUAAGUCGAACGUGAAAUCCCUGGGCUCAACCCAGGAACUGCGUCCGAUACUGGGAGGCUUGAAUCCGGGAGAGGGAUGUGGAAUUCCAGGUGUAGCGGUGAAAUGCGUAGAUAUCUGGAGGAACACCGGUGGCGAAGGCGGCAUCCUGGACCGGUAUUGACGCUGAUGCGCGGAAGCCAGGGGAGCAAACGGG
This 253-nucleotide ribosomal RNA is filed under the name uncultured bacterium. RNAcentral describes it as "partial 16S ribosomal RNA". It matches the Rfam family "Bacterial small subunit ribosomal RNA", at positions 524 to 776 of the family's 1533-position model. The record is from RNAcentral.